CGGCGGACGGGUGAGUAACGCGUGGGUAACCUGCCUCAUACAGGGGGAUAACAGUUAGAAAUGACUGCUAAUACCGCAUAAGACUACGGUACCGCAUGGUACAGUGGUAAAAACUCCGGUGGUAUGAGAUGGACCCGCGUCUGAUUAGGUAGUUGGUGGGGUAACGGCCUACCAAGCCGACGAUCAGUAGCCGACCUGAGAGGGUGACCGGCCACAUUGGGACUGAGACACGGCCCAG
This 238-nucleotide ribosomal RNA is filed under the name uncultured bacterium. RNAcentral's name for it is "partial 16S ribosomal RNA". It matches the Rfam family "Bacterial small subunit ribosomal RNA", at positions 96 to 334 of the family's 1533-position model. The record is from RNAcentral.